AACGAACGCUGGCGGCAUGCCUAACACAUGCCAGUCGAACGAGACCUUCGGGUCUAGUGGCGCACGGGUGCGUAACGCGUGGGAACCUGCCCUUAGGUUCGGCAUACCUCCCCGAAAGGGGUGCUAAUACCGGAUAAUGUCUUCGGACCAAAGAUUUAUCGCCUUUGGAUGGGCCCGCGUUGGAUUAGCUUGUUGGUAGAGUAAAAGCCUACCAAGGCGACGAUCAAUAGCUGGUCUGAGAGGAUGCUCAGCGACACUGGGACUGAGACGCGGCCCAGACUCCUACGGGAGGCAGCAGUGGGGAAUAUUGGACAAUGGGCGAAAGCCUGAUCCAGCAAGGCCGCGAGAAUGAUGAAGGCCGUAGGGUUGUAAAGCUCUUUUACCCGGGAUGAUAAUGACAGUACCGAGAGAAUAAGCUCCGGCUAACUCCGUG
This 433-nucleotide ribosomal RNA is filed under the name uncultured bacterium. RNAcentral describes it as "partial 16S ribosomal RNA". It matches the Rfam family "Bacterial small subunit ribosomal RNA", at positions 29 to 507 of the family's 1533-position model. The record is from RNAcentral.